This 325-nucleotide ribosomal RNA is filed under the name uncultured eukaryote. RNAcentral's name for it is "partial 18S ribosomal RNA". It matches the Rfam family "Eukaryotic small subunit ribosomal RNA", at positions 1470 to 1796 of the family's 1831-position model. The record is from RNAcentral.
CCCUUAGAUGUUCUGGGCCGCACGCGCGCUACACUGAUGCAUUCAACGAGCCUAUCCUUGACCGACAGGUCCGGGUAAUCUUUGAAUCUGCAUCGUGACGGGGAUAGAUUAUUGCAAUUAUUAAUCUUCAACGAGGAAUGCCUAGUAGGCGCAAGUCAUCAGCUUGCGUCGAUUACGUCCCUGCCCUUUGUACACACCGCCCGUCGCUCCUACCGAUUGGGUGUGCUGGUGAAAUGUUCGGAUCGGCCGUUUGUCGCGGUUUCCGCGUCAUGUGGAUGAGAAGUUCAUUAAACCCUCCCACCUAGAGGAAGGAGAAGUCGUAACA